UAGGGAAUCUUCGGCAAUGGACGAAAGUCUGACCGAGCAACGCCGCGUGAGUGAAGAAGGUUUUCGGAUCGUAAAACUCUGUUGUUAGAGAAGAACAAGGACGUUAGUAACUGAACGUCCCCUGACGGUAGCUAACCAGAAAGCCACGGCUAACUACGUGCCAGCAGCCGCGGUAAUACGUAGGUGGCAAGCGUUGUCCGGAUUUAUUGGGCGUAAAGCGAGCGCAGGCGGUUUCUUAAGUCUGAUGUGAAAGCCCCCGGCUCAACCGGGGAGGGUCAUUUGAAACUGGGAGACUUGAGUGCAGAAGAGGAGAGUGGAAUUCCAUGUGUAGCGGUGAAAUGCGUAGAUAUAUGGAGGAACACCAGUGGCGAAGGCGGCUCUCUGGUCUGUAACUGACGCUGAGGCUCGAAAGCGUGGGGAGCAAACAGG
This 429-nucleotide ribosomal RNA is filed under the name Gemmatimonadota bacterium. RNAcentral describes it as "Gemmatimonadetes bacterium partial 16S ribosomal RNA". It matches the Rfam family "Bacterial small subunit ribosomal RNA", at positions 355 to 776 of the family's 1533-position model. The record is from RNAcentral. Lineage: Bacteria; Pseudomonadati; Gemmatimonadota.